RNAcentral lists this ribosomal RNA (306 nucleotides) under uncultured bacterium. RNAcentral's name for it is "partial 16S ribosomal RNA". It matches the Rfam family "Bacterial small subunit ribosomal RNA", at positions 507 to 807 of the family's 1533-position model. The record is from RNAcentral.
GACAGCAGCCGCCACGGGAAUACGGAGGAUCCAAGCGUUAUCCGGAUUUAUUGGGUUUAAGGCGUGCGUAGGCGGCCUGUUAAGUCAGGGGUGAAAGACGGUAGCUCAACUAUCGCAGUGCCCUUGAUACUGAUGGGCUUGAAUGAACUAGAGGUAGGCGGAAUGUGACAAGUAGCGGUGAAAUGCAUAGAUAUGUCACAGAACACCAAUUGCGAAGGCAGCUUACUAUGGUUUGAUUGACACUGAGGCACGAAAGCGUGGGGAUCAAACAGGAUUAGAUACCCGAGUAGUCCCUGUCUCUUAUAC